AGAAGCAGGCCAGACGUAAAGUGACUUCUAGUCCAGAAUCUUCAGAGAGUCUGAGUGGAACAAGGAGGCAGAAGGAGCCGUAGCAGAAACUGAGGAGUGGAUACAAAAACAAACACCGAGAUUCCCAAGCAUAGAGGAACAAGGCCAUCCCACCACCGUCCCCAGCAAGUAGCUAGAACCUUGUCCUCCAUCCACACCCUCAGCUAAACACUGCAAGGUCCCAGGCUCAUUCAUCGCAGCUCCAAGGAACCUGGCCAGAUUGAGAUCGAGCUUGUGUAUGAAUCUCCAGGUCAUGCUCUGAUGGGCAAAUGGCUGAGCCUCUAUGACCCAGCUAAUCUCAAUGCCGGACUAAGGGGCUAUGUGAAAGUUCACCUCUGUGUCCUUGGAGCUGGAGAUCAGGCGCCGGUAAAAAUCUUUACAUUACAACAUCUUCACCACCUCAACAGAGGCUUGUCACGGGCAUUCAAGUUCAUGUGAUGCCAUUGGCAGCUAUUAAAAUGAUGGGGUGC
Molecule: non-coding RNA, 509 nt
Organism: Podarcis muralis (Common wall lizard)
Lineage: Eukaryota; Metazoa; Chordata; Lepidosauria; Squamata; Lacertidae
Source: RefSeq, a predicted model, not a curated record